RNAcentral lists this ribosomal RNA (924 nucleotides) under Triticum aestivum (bread wheat). Its description in RNAcentral is "partial small subunit ribosomal RNA". The record is from RNAcentral. Lineage: Eukaryota; Viridiplantae; Streptophyta; Magnoliopsida; Poales; Poaceae.
AUGGCAAAGGUACACGUUCCUGGGCUGGAUUGGUGGGUGGGAUCUAAACCUCUAAAAGAGGCCUACCCAAGCCUCUAUUUCAGCAAUUUAAACCAAAACAUUUCGGUGGCUGAGGCCAUCAGUUUAGGGUGGGAUGGGUUAAAAUUUAGAAGAAAUUUAUCUAUGGACAAACAUGUUAUGUGGGACAGCUUGAAAGCGACAUGUGAGAGGGUGAGAAUGUAUGAAGGCAAGGAUCAGCCACAGUGGAUGAUGACAGCCAACAAACAAUUCUUUGUUAGAUCGCUGUACCAUUCCUUGAUCAAAACUGAGGUCGGAUUCCCCCAAAAAAUUCUUUGGAAAAUCAAAAUUCCAGCAAAAAUUAAAAUGUUUUUCUGGCUUAUUGCUAGGAAAAGUGUGUUGACUAAAGUUAAUCUAAUCAAGAAGGGGUGGAGAGGAAGACAGGGUUGUGUUUACUGUGGGCAAGAUGAAACCAUAGAUCACUUGUUCCUCACUUGCUCUGCUGCUAGACUUUUGUGGAGCUUAAUAAAGUGUUCAUUUAAUUUGAGAACAACUCCGAAUGGUAUAGAUGAUUGUGUGGGACCAUGGGUCAGAAGCUUUGCUAAGAUUGAGAAAAACCCAGUACUAGUUGGAAUAUCGGCCAUAAUUUGCAAAACGGCCUACGGCUGUCGAAAUCGGAACUGGGUUUUUGUGCUGAACAUUUCGAUAUAUUAUACGUUUUUUUCGACAUCGUAUGCAAAAGUUAUUGCCAUUUUACUUUUCCAUAACAUCUUUUGCAAAAAAUGUCGAAAUUUAUGUUUUUUAAUUUUCCUAACUAGUAGAUGUAGUAACAUAACUACAUCUCGAAGGAUUUUAAUUUUUGAAGUUUUUAUCAUUUUCUUUUUUUUCAAAACUGAAAUGGCCAUAAGGGGGUGGGGUAGAGUUUGA